RNAcentral lists this ribosomal RNA (402 nucleotides) under Odontella aurita. RNAcentral describes it as "partial Bacterial large subunit ribosomal RNA". It matches the Rfam family "Bacterial large subunit ribosomal RNA", at positions 2049 to 2462 of the family's 2925-position model. Lineage: Eukaryota; Bacillariophyta; Thalassiosirophyceae; Eupodiscales; Odontellaceae. The record is from RNAcentral.
AUCGGUGAAGAUGCCGAUUACCCGCAGCGGGACGAAAAGACCCCGUGAACCUUUACUAUAGCUUAGUAUUGGCUUUGGAUAAGUAAUGUGUAGGAUAGGUGGGAAACAUUGAAGCGGCGUCGCUAGGCGUUGUGGAGUUAACCUUGAAAUACCACCCUUUGCUUAUCUAGAGUCUAACUCAGAGAUGAGGACAGUGCUUGGUGGGUAGUUUGACUGGGGUGGUCGCCUCCAAAAGAGUAACGGAGGCUUCUAAAGGUACCCUCAGCACGCUUGGUAACCGUGCGUAGAGUGCAAUGGCAUAAGGGUGCUUGACUGAGAGACCUACAAGUCGAUCAGGUUGGAAACAAGAGCAUAGUGAUCCGGUGGUUCCGCAUGGAAGGGCCAUCGCUCAAAGGAUAAAAG